Non-coding RNA from Pimephales promelas (fathead minnow), 331 nucleotides. The record is from RefSeq and is a predicted model, not a curated record. NCBI's taxonomy places the organism in Eukaryota, Metazoa, Chordata, Actinopteri, Cypriniformes, Leuciscidae.
GAUCAACCAUGUUCUGACCCAAAAGCUCCAUGAUUUUGGCACACACCGUGGACUAGCAAGAGAAAAACAGCAGUUAUAGGUUUACAUGCAUCAAAAAGCCAAAGCCAGCCGUAUGCAUCAGUUUCCAUCAUGCAUGCAGUGUCUCGUACCUUUCCACUGGCUGUUCCUCCGCUCACCCCGAUCAGGAAAGGACGGUGACGCGGCCGCUCGCUUUCACACAACAGUCCGGCUGGAUUCAUGCUGGUCAGAAAACCAGUUCAGAUUAUCAGCGAUGACGUGAUGGUUGUUGCAUCCAGGACACGUUACUAUGACGACACCCUUGUGAUACGCU